RNAcentral lists this transfer RNA (62 nucleotides) under Caudoviricetes sp. RNAcentral describes it as "tRNA-OTHER". It matches the Rfam family "tRNA". Rfam says of the family: Transfer RNA (tRNA) molecules are approximately 80 nucleotides in length. The record is from RNAcentral. Lineage: Duplodnaviria; Heunggongvirae; Uroviricota; Caudoviricetes.
GCUUCGGUAGCUCAGUUGGCUAGAGCCUUAGAGUCGGCAGUUCGAGUCUGCCCCGAAGCCCA